AAGAGUGAACUAGCUAACUGAAAUCAAUCUACAUAUAAAUAUUGAUUGAUAACGUAAGGGAAAAUUAUGAUAUUACCUUACUAUUAGUGUCGUCCAAAUCUGGUGCCAGAAGACUCGGUAAGGCCAGAGACGCAAACGUUAAUCGUCUUAAACAGGCGUAAAGGGUUUGUAGGCUGCUUUUAAUUUUAUCUAUAACAAAUUACCCCUCCGGUAAACAUAGCACAAUAGAUACUUAAUAAAAGCUAGAAUCAAAUAGAGGUUAUAUUAUAUAAUGCUUAAAGUAGGUCUAAUAUCCUAACAGAUUAAGUGGAAUAUUAAAAGCGAAGGCUUAUUUACCAUAAAUGAUUGACGCUGAGAAACGAAGGUGAGGAUAGGAAAUAGGAUUAGAUACCCAAAAUACCCCUCUCUGUCAACGAUGAAUGGUGGUUGCUAAUUAUAAAAUUAGUAGCUAUGUUAACACGAUAACCAUUCCGCCUUGUGAGUACGACUGCAAAGUUGAAAACAAAAAAAUUAGUCGGUUUCGGAGCAAACGAAGUG
This 537-nucleotide ribosomal RNA is filed under the name Amylostereum sp. Stillwell309-3. RNAcentral's name for it is "SSU rRNA". It matches the Rfam family "Bacterial small subunit ribosomal RNA", at positions 379 to 936 of the family's 1533-position model. The record is from RNAcentral. Lineage: Eukaryota; Fungi; Basidiomycota; Agaricomycetes; Russulales; Stereaceae.